UGCACACACUAACCCAAAGGUCAUUUCUUCCCAGUGUCAUGCCCUUGCCAUGUGUGCGAAAAGAAACCCGGAACCUUGUCGCCUUUCAUAGGCUGUGAAACGUGCCACUGAAAGUGAAAUUCAAGGUGCAACACGA
Cyprinus carpio carpio is the source of this 136-nucleotide small nucleolar RNA. Lineage: Eukaryota; Metazoa; Chordata; Actinopteri; Cypriniformes; Cyprinidae. The record is from Ensembl.